CAGAGGGUCUUUUAGAACCACCAUG
Molecule: non-coding RNA, 25 nt
Filed under: Cricetulus griseus (Chinese hamster)
Lineage: Eukaryota; Metazoa; Chordata; Mammalia; Rodentia; Cricetidae
Source: RNAcentral